Non-coding RNA from Schistosoma haematobium, 45 nucleotides. The record is from Rfam. Lineage: Eukaryota; Metazoa; Platyhelminthes; Trematoda; Strigeidida; Schistosomatidae.
UUCCGGCUGGCGAGUCGCAAACAGGACGAAACGCGCGGCCUGGAU